This 570-nucleotide ribosomal RNA is filed under the name uncultured bacterium. RNAcentral's name for it is "partial 16S ribosomal RNA". It matches the Rfam family "Bacterial small subunit ribosomal RNA", at positions 355 to 914 of the family's 1533-position model. The record is from RNAcentral.
UGGGGAAUAUUGCACAAUGGGCGCAAGCCUGAUGCAGCCAUGCCGCGUGUGUGAAGAAGGCCUUCGGGUUGUAAAGCACUUUCAGCGAGGAGGAAGGUGGUGAACUUAAUACGUUCAUCAAUUGACGUUACUCGCAGAAGAAGCACCGGCUAACUCCGUGCCAGCAGCCGCGGUAAUACGGAGGGUGCAAGCGUUAAUCGGAAUUACUGGGCGUAAAGCGCACGCAGGCGGUUUGUUAAGUCAGAUGUGAAAUCCCCCGGGCUCAACCUGGGAACUGCAUUUGAAACUGGCAAGCUAGAGUCUCGUAGAGGGGGGUAGAAUUCCAGGUGUAGCGGUGAAAUGCGUAGAGAUCUGGAGGAAUACCGGUGGCGAAGGCGGCCCCCUGGACGAAGACUGACGCUCAGGUGCGAAAGCGUGGGGAGCAAACAGGAUUAGNUACCCUGGUAGUCCACGCUGUAAACGAUGUCGAUUUUGGAGGUUGUGCCCCUUGAGGCGUGGCUUCCGGAGCUAACGCGUUAAAUCGACCGCCUGGGGAGUACGGCCGCAAGGUUAAAACUCAAAGGAAUUGAC